Molecule: long non-coding RNA, 349 nt
Filed under: Anas platyrhynchos platyrhynchos (common mallard)
Lineage: Eukaryota; Metazoa; Chordata; Aves; Anseriformes; Anatidae
Description: lncRNA (ENSAPLG00000022711.1)
Source: RNAcentral
UUCAUCAUCAUCAUCAUCUUCAUCAUCAUCGUCAUCAUCAUCUUCAUCAUCUUCAUCAUCAAUAUUGGAAGAGCCUUCAUCAUCAUCUUCAUCAUCAUCUUCAUCAUCUUCAUCUUCAUCAUCAUCAUCAUCAUUGGAAGAGCCUUCAUCAUCAUCAUCAUCAUCAUCAUCAUCAGAAGAAGAAGAGCCUUCAUCAUCAUCAUCAUCGUCAUCAUCGGUGUUGGAAGAGCCCCGGGGUUGUCGGCGGGAUGAUGAAGAUCUCCAUCAUCAUCAUCGUCAUCAGAAGAGCCUUCGUCGUCAUCAUCAUCAUCAUCUUCAUCACUGUCACUAUUGGAAGAGCCUUCAUCAU